This 68-nucleotide transfer RNA is filed under the name Hemicharilaus monomorphus. Its description in RNAcentral is "tRNA-Pro". Lineage: Eukaryota; Metazoa; Arthropoda; Insecta; Orthoptera; Charilaidae. The record is from RNAcentral.
CAGGGGUUAGUUUAUUAUAUAAAAUAUCGGUUUUGGAGACCGAAGUUAGGAAAGUUUCCUCUCCCUGA